This 408-nucleotide ribosomal RNA is filed under the name uncultured bacterium. Its description in RNAcentral is "partial 16S ribosomal RNA". It matches the Rfam family "Bacterial small subunit ribosomal RNA", at positions 28 to 526 of the family's 1533-position model. The record is from RNAcentral.
GACGAACGCUGGCGGCGUGCUUUACACAUGCAAGUCGAACGAAGUGGCGAACGGGUGAGUAAUACGUGAGUAACCUGCCCUCCUUUUUGGGAUAAGCCUUGGAAACGGGGUCUAAUACCGGAUAAAGGGGGAUGGGCUCGCGGCCUAUCAGCUUGUUGGUGGGGUGAUGGCCUACCAAGGCGGGGACGGGUAGACGGCCUGAGUGGGUGGUCGUCCACAGUGUGACUGGGAUACGGCCCAGACUCCUACGGGGGGCAGCAGUGGUGGAUAUUGCACAAUGGGCGCAAGCCUGAUGCAGCGACGCCGCGUGAGGGAUGAAGGCUUUCGGGUUGUAAACCUCUUUCGGUACAGAACGGGUAUGUGCAGAAGAAGCGCCGGCUAACUACGUGCCAGCAGCCGCGGUAAUUC